Molecule: long non-coding RNA, 1550 nt
Filed under: Marmota monax (woodchuck)
Lineage: Eukaryota; Metazoa; Chordata; Mammalia; Rodentia; Sciuridae
Source: RNAcentral
CAGGAAUUUGCCUAAGGGUAUGACACAGAUGAUCUCUGCCACUGUCUUUGUUGUGUUCUUAAAUGAACUGGGUGCUUCACGAAAUCCUACACUUGUGAUUCCACAUGCUGCAAGAUUUCAUGUGGCCAUCGGUACCUGCCUCCCAUGUUCUUUCUCUUUUUCUACAAAAGUAGUUUUAAAAUCCAGAAAUAUGAGGAAAGUGCCGUCAUCGUAUAUGAAACUAGUAGGCCCAAUUCUUCAACGAUUGAUUUGGUCUUAUGGUUUUUUUAAAUCAACGCAGUGUCCAUAGAAUGACUUAUGUCUUCCAGAAAAAAUAAUUUAGAUUUUUCUUUCUCAGUAGAUUUUUGAAUAAAGCAUAUUUUCUUCAGGCAGAUCUAUGCCAAGAAAAACACCUAUGUUGAUGUUUAGUUUGGAGUAAAAUUAAAAAUGCAUUAAAAUCAAUACUUUGUGACCCCACCAUUUAGUAUGAACGUGUGUGCUCAUUUUACGGCACACAGAGAACUGUUUAUGUGAGUUAACUUUAAGAGAUGUGUAGGUAAAGUGAAGUUUUUUUCUGGGAAAAUUAUUCUCUUCUGGAUACUAUGCCCUUCUCUCUUUUUCUUUUUUUUUUCCCCUUGAAAAAAAAUUACCCUGCCCCUGUGCUUCUAUAGAGAACAACUAUUUAUAUAAAAAUUUUUAAAUUUUGCAAGUCAUUGCCUGGGGUUAGUUAAAACACUUGUUUUUGAAAAUGACGAAAUACCCCUGCCUUAAAAAAUCUUUCUUAUAUUUGUAUCUAUUAAGAUAAACAGUUUACUUUGAUACGGUACAUACCAACCUAUUUAGUUAAUUAUUUUUCCAGAAUUCACUUUACUGUGUUUCGUCUAACCUUUAUGAUAACUUAAUAUAGGGACAAAUUAGCAUAUAAUUCUAUUUUCCAUGUGACCUCAACCAGUUGCAGAAUUGUACCACCACUGCCGGGGGCCCCUGGAUAGUCCAUGUAGACUGUAGCACGAAAUGUUUGUAAGUGUUCGGUGCCGCCUGGCUAGUGUUUUUGUUACCAAAAAUGUUUUAAAGUAAGCAAUUAGAAGAAACACUUCACCCCAUUACCAAGUUAUUAAAAUACCUCCUAAGUUAGCAUUUUUAAUUAGUGUACAUAAUUGAUUGGUGAUUUGUCUUCUCCCAGGCAGAAGCAGCCUGGUGACGUUCAGUGUGAUCAGAAAGUGUAAGGUACUGGGGACUGACCCUGGCAGUGAUCAUGACGACUAAAUGACUUUUUUUUUCCUUUUAGAUUCAGCCAUCGGUCUUUGAAAUUUCCUGACAUCCGUUUCAGUCUAGAUGGAAAAGAAUUGGAAAAAUCAAGCGCUCAGGGGAUUUAAAUAUGUUUUGAAUGUUUCUGUUUAUAGACGACAGUAUUUUUCCAGUUGAGCUCCUUGGUGUCCCUGUAGGGGAAGGGUAAACUCUUCUUCAUCAUCAAUUUUAUUGAAAAUGCUUAAGACAUAAAAUGUUGCUGAAAUAAUUCCUGUUUGAAACAAAGUGAAGGAAAAAAAUGAAAUAAAUUUUAUAUGGUGACU